ACUGAAGACUGGGUUCCCGAGUGCCGAGCGGCGCCCCCUAGGCUGCUCCCGGGCCCCGCCGGCUGCUUGUUGCAAGCCGGUCCGCCAGUGUGCGCAGCAGGCUAGGGAUCCUGGCCAACCUAAGACCCUCUCCUGAGCCAGCCCUCCAGAGCCAGGAGAUCCGCAUGCGCCCGAGAGUGGACCAAGGGGAAUGGGAACCGAGGAGGGGCGAGGCGUGUCUUUGCUACAGCGGUGGAGUGAGUCUCUGAAACCAUGCACAAAGGAAAUCUCCCCUCAGUUGUUCCUGCCCAUUACCUUACCACAAUGAUGAGAGGGAGUAGCCCCAGGGGUCACUCACGUCCCGUCGGAACCACAGCAGGACAUGUACUGGGUUGCUCUUGCUCUGUGCACUGUGGUGAAAGCCAGGAUGGAGCCUGCCUCCGCAGCCAUCUGCUCAGGAGCCAGGGAUGAAGAAGCCAGGGGUCCUCAUCGCAUCCUGCUUCUCCCUGGACCUGAAGAGGAUGCAUUGCUUGACUGAACUUAACAUCUAAUGAAGAGACCCAAGGGAUCACACUGCAGCAUUUGAGGACACCAGAAGCAAAAAGAACAAGCAGCAAAAGGCCACCGACAAAGACGUAUCAGCGUGAUUUGAACUCAAUAACAAUACAAAGAACAUGAGAAUGGAAGAUUCUAAGAAUCGUUAUUUCCUGACUUCAAAGUCUAUAUCAGACAAAUCUUCACUGAAGUGUGAAUAAUACUUUCCUCAUCUAUUAAGUUCUCAAAAAUUUACCUCUUUCCAUGGUCUAUUGGAUUUGCAUCUCUCCCCCAAACCAAUGUUUAUAGCCUUAACCCCCAUGUGCUGGUAAUGAAGGAGGAGUCUGGGUGUGGAGGUGGCUCAGUGGAUUCAGCACUUGCUGAGCAAGCAUGAUGAGCCAACGUUUAGAUUCCCAGCACCCACAUAAAAGCCAGAAUGGUGUGGUGGCCUGCUUGCAACCCCAGCACUUAGGAAGUAGAGAUAGCUAGACUAGCUAAACCAGCAAACUCUGGGCUCAGAAAGAGAUCCUGCCUCAGCAAAGAAAGUAGAUAGCAACCCAGAAAGAUACCCAGUGUCAAUCUCUGCACACACAUAUGCACAUGCUCCCACACAUUUAUGAACAUGCAUAGACAGCUGCACACACACAUACAUGUGCUCCCACACACUUAUGAACAUGCAUAUACAAGCAUGCACACAUAAACGAAGUCAGGCCUCUAUAGGGUGAUUGGAUCACGAAGGUGAAGCUUUUAUGGAUGGAAUCAGUGCUCUUUAAAAGAAGCCCUGGGAAGCUCACGAGCCUCUUCCACAGUGAGAAGAUACAGAGAGAUG
Mesocricetus auratus (golden hamster) is the source of this 1342-nucleotide long non-coding RNA. RefSeq lists it as uncharacterized. The record is from RefSeq and is a predicted model, not a curated record. The transcript has 4 exons. NCBI's taxonomy places the organism in Eukaryota, Metazoa, Chordata, Mammalia, Rodentia, Cricetidae.